This 84-nucleotide transfer RNA is filed under the name Bacteroidota bacterium. RNAcentral describes it as "tRNA-Leu". It matches the Rfam family "tRNA". From Rfam's summary of the family: Transfer RNA (tRNA) molecules are approximately 80 nucleotides in length. Their secondary structure includes four short double-helical elements and three loops (D, anti-codon, and T loops). Lineage: Bacteria; Pseudomonadati; Bacteroidota. RNAcentral also lists the same sequence under 2 other names. The record is from RNAcentral.
GCCCGAGUGGCGGAACUGGUAGACGCGUUGGUCUCAAAAACCAAUGGGCAUUUGCCUUUGCCGGUUCGAUUCCGGCCUCGGGUA